CCCCUUCUCUCUCUCUGCCCCCCACCCCCACUUAUGCUCUGUGUCUCUCUCAAAAAUAAAAACAUUAAAAAAUGGAAAAAAAUCUUCCCAUGUAUUUCUUUUAAUGUAUGACUCCUUUCAUGAUUGAGGAAAUACUUGUUUAUGGUGAAUAAUUCAUAGAACACAAAAAUGAAAGCUAUGGCUCUCUAUAAAUCUUCAUUCCAAAGAUGUAUCCACAUAAAGAUAGCACACAAUGUGUCUGGUAUAACACACACACACACACACACACACACACACGAUAUUAUUUUUCUUAAAGAUUUUUAUGUUGUUUAUGUAAUCUCUACACCCAACGUGGGGCUCGAACCCACAACCCCGAGAUCAAGAGUCGCAUGCUCUAUUGACUGAGCCAGCCAGGCACACCCACACAUAUGAUUUUAGAAGUAACUUUUUUCACUUUUUCACUUGGUAUAAUGUGGGUAUUUUCCCAUGAUAAUGCAAAACAUAUACACACACACACACACACACACACAUAUAUAUGUAUAUGUUUCCUCAUUUUUAACAAUACUUAAUUGAAGCAUAAUACUUCAUACUAGGGUUUCUUGAAUUUUUGUAACCAAUCCCUAUGAAUUGACAUUGAGAUAGUUUUUGUUUUCUUUUUCAUCAUUGGAAUUUACUGUUUGACACUUGUGCAAAAUAUCUCCAUAAGAUGAACGCCUAGAAAGAAUCCUUUGGGACCAUAUAAUGUCCAUGUUUAAAAUUUUGAUAAUUAUUGCUAAGUAAUCCUCCAAAAAAGGAUGAUUUACAGGACUCCUGGAAGUGUAUACAAAUGCCUACUUGUUCCCCCAUUUUCUUCAAAACUUACGCACUAUUAGCCUUUUAAAAAUAUUUCUAAUAAGUAAAUAUGUCCUCUCAAUAGUGAGAUUAAUGGUCUUUUAUGUGUUUGUUGACGUUUAGCCUUUGAAUUGCUUUUUUCUGUAUUUUGCCCGCUUUUAAUUGGGCUGCUUUUUUAUAUUGAUUUAUAGGAACAAGUCUUUAUUACACGUAUUCACCUUUUGGCAUAUACAUUAGAAAUAUUUUCUCCUGAUUUGUUGUUGCCCUUUCAAUUUUGCUUGUGAUGUAUUUUGCUAUACAGAAUUUAAAAAUCUUUAGGUGUUCAAAUCUAUUUGUAUUUUCUCUUAUAGUUCUUUGGCCUAGUAUCAGCCUACUUAAGGAAGGCCUUCCUCACCCCCAAGAUUAUGAAAAAGAUUAUCCUAUAUUUUAUUCUCGUACUUUUAUGACUUUUUGACAAUUAAAUUUUUAUUCCAUCUGCAUUUUAAUUUUUGUUUUUUUAAAUGUUUAUUUGGUUUUGAAAGAGAGAGUGCACAAGCAGGGGAGGUGCAGCAGGGGGAGAGGCAGGGACAGAAGAUCUGAAGUGGGUUCCGUGGUGACAACAGAGAGCCGAAUGUGGGACUGGAACUCACGAACCAUGAGAUCAUGACCAAAGCCGAAGCCGGACACUCAACCAACUGAGCCACCUAGGUGCCCCUCCAUCUGCAUUUUUGAACACGUCCUAUGAAUAGUUUAAGACUAUAUUACCAAGGACGCCUGGGUUUCAAGUACAGAAAACUCAAAAUAGCUCAAACCAUAGGGAUAAUAUACUUACCCAAGUAGCCAAAAGGACCCAAAGCAAGGCAUUCAUCCUGUUUAUCCUGGCACUUCUGGAUGCCUUCAACGGCAAGUAAAAGAAAACCCCAACUCAGAUUGUCAUAAACACUGGAAAGAAUAAAUCUACAGGUGUCCGCAUGCCGCCACCGGCUUGGGUUCCACAGAGUGGCCACCUUCUGCCCGCCUGAGACACCGGCUGCCUGCGCCAGGACCCUCCUCACCCACCUAUCUCAAUCAACACCCCUUAAGCCUCUCAAGCACGACUG
Long non-coding RNA from Felis catus (domestic cat), 1889 nucleotides. RefSeq lists it as uncharacterized. The record is from RefSeq and is a predicted model, not a curated record. Lineage: Eukaryota; Metazoa; Chordata; Mammalia; Carnivora; Felidae. The transcript has 3 exons.